AAAUACAGGCCACCCACUUUCGUGGUCAAAACAGAUCAGUAAAAAGUUAAAUAUGGACAUUUCUUCCUUUUCUUAAUAUUUUAAAUGUUUAUUUAAAAUAUUUAAAACAUACCAAUGUCUAGCAAAAAACAAACAAAACUUUUUGUAUAUUCUGCAGUCAUUCUAUAAAGUCACUGUCUGUAAGUGGUAGGGGGAAGGUUAUCAAAACAAGCUGUCAAAAGUACUCACAAAAGGCCUUCAUCACCCUCCACUGAUGAAUGACCUUAAUGAACCUACCAUCGGGUCCAGCAGUCUUCCUCAAGAAAUAUUGCAGGAUGACCUCAGUGACCCUACAAUCGGACUCAGCAGGUUUUCUGAAGGAAACUCUGGAAGUGUUCCCAGGCGAGCAGGAAUCUUCUUGUUUUCACCACUGAUAUCACCCUUCAUCGACCCCCAUCGACAGUCAGAAAAGCCCUAUAUCUCCUUCUCAACCACUGACGGAAAAGGCCUUCAUUUUCCUCAGUUAUUUUUUUCUUCACAGAAGCUACACCUGGUCUUGCGCUGUCGUUUCUCAGCUUCACACACAGUUAUUUCUGAAUUAAGAUGCCAGCUGAUGCACUUCUGACUUUUUGUAACUUGACAUUAUUUAACCCAAACACACAGCGGGCUCAGUGUGUGUGUGUGUAUGUGUGUGGGUGUUUUUGGGUAUAAGUAGAGGUUCUGCUUAGCUUGCUCAAUAAUAAUUUGUAAAUGUGGAACAGCUAGUUGACCUUUGACCUCUAGAAACUUUUAUUAAUAUCUUUAAAAUAAUUCACUAACACAUUUUUGCUGUACAAAUGUUUGACACUAAUUUUGUUCUCUCAGGUUUCAGAAGCAGGUUGGAACAGAAAUGUCUUCAAUAAAUUAUCCAGACUCUGAUUAUUAAUUAUGCCCACUAACGAGCUCAGAGUUUUAACAAUGAACUGUGUUCAAUUCAUGGUUUCUGAAGAGAUUCCCUACUGCUUCAUUAACCAAUCACAGGUUGUGGAUCAUAGAGGGCAGAGGUUUGGGAUCAUAGUGGGCGAGGUGGGGGCAGACAAGACAGAAAACGGCGACCUGAUAGACCUUUUCUUUGGUCUUAGUGAAAAUAGAAACUGCUGGGAAGAUUCAGAGGAUGGAGCAGGCGGUUAAGUAGAGAAAAUUGUGGGUUCAAAUCCCUCUACAAGUCUUUAGAGUGGCGUUGCCUUGGUUUGGUACUCUGGUUUUCUCCUCUAGUCCAGAAUGUAAACGUUUCCCCAGACUUGGUUUGGCCACGACUUAAGAGCCAGAGAAACGCUAAAUACCAGCAGCUGAUAGGCAGUGGUGCUCUAAGACCUCAGCUGUUGCGUCCGUAUCAGCCACAGCCGAAUGGAUCGGGUCGGCCCCGGAAGACUGAGCAGCUCUCCCAGAACCUCCUGUCUGAUCUGAGUCAUGCCAGCACUCUCAGAGCGUUUAAUUAGCAGAAAUGUGGAAUAAGAAGCUGCCUGUUAGGAAAAGGUCACCUACCUUUGCUGAGAGAGAAAUAAAACUUUAUUACUUAAAGAGUUGUGUCUCUGUGGAAUCAGGCGCUGCAGCUUUAAAGCAGAGCAGAAACAUGUGAGUGAGUUUUUAUCUUCAGGCAGAUGAUGAAGAGGAGCUGAACAUCUUUACCUCAUCUGGAAACGUCUGAGAAACUGAAACUGAGUUCAGCCUUUCACUUUGCAGGCCUUUAAACUGCAGCUUAUUUUCUCCUUUAUUUGUGGAAAGACUGAGGGGGCAUGGGAAAACAAGGAGACAGUUUGGUCUUUGCCCAGGUUGCUUUAGCCAGAAAUUAAAGGUGGAAAAACAAAAAACAAACAAUAACCACAAAGUUUAUCAUUAAAAACCUCCGGAUAAAUUCCUGAAAUA
Poecilia latipinna (sailfin molly) is the source of this 1884-nucleotide long non-coding RNA. RefSeq lists it as uncharacterized. The transcript has 4 exons. NCBI's taxonomy places the organism in Eukaryota, Metazoa, Chordata, Actinopteri, Cyprinodontiformes, Poeciliidae. The record is from RefSeq and is a predicted model, not a curated record.